UUGAACUGAAGAGUUUGAUCCUGGCUCAGAUUGAACGCUGGCGGCAUGCCUUACACAUGCAAGUCGAACGGCAGCACGGGGGCAACCCUGGU
This 92-nucleotide ribosomal RNA is filed under the name Paraburkholderia aspalathi. RNAcentral's name for it is "partial 16S ribosomal RNA". It matches the Rfam family "Bacterial small subunit ribosomal RNA", at positions 1 to 89 of the family's 1533-position model. Lineage: Bacteria; Pseudomonadati; Pseudomonadota; Betaproteobacteria; Burkholderiales; Burkholderiaceae. The record is from RNAcentral.